This 554-nucleotide ribosomal RNA is filed under the name uncultured Microscilla sp. RNAcentral describes it as "bacterial SSU rRNA". It matches the Rfam family "Bacterial small subunit ribosomal RNA", at positions 9 to 558 of the family's 1533-position model. The record is from RNAcentral. Lineage: Bacteria; Pseudomonadati; Bacteroidota; Cytophagia; Cytophagales; Microscillaceae.
GAGUUUGAUCAUGGCUCAGGCAUGAACGCUAGCGGCAGGCCUAACACAUGCAAGUCGAGGGGCAGCAUUUCUUUUCGGAGAAGAUGGCGACCGGCGCACGGGUGCGUAACGCGUAUGCAACCUACCCAUUACAGGGGGAUAGCCCGGGGAGACUCGGAUUAAUACCCUAUGGUACGAUUUGAUGGCAUCUGAAGAUCGUUAAAGAUUUAUUGGUAAUGGAUGGGCAUGCGUCUGAUUAGUUAGUUGGUGAGGUAACGGCUCACCAAGACGACGAUCAGUAGCGGGUCUGAGAGGAUGAUCCGCCACACUGGAACUGAGACACGGUCCAGACUCCUACGGGAGGCAGCAGUGAGGAAUAUUGGUCAAUGGGGGAGACCCUGAACCAGCCAUGCCGCGUGCAGGAAGACGGCCUUCUGGGUUGUAAACUGCUUUUAUACAGGAACAAAGAGUCCAUGCGUGGAAAAUUGAGUGUACUGUAUGAAUAAGCACCGGCUAACUCCGUGCCAGCAGCCGCGGUAAUACGGAGGGUGCGAGCGUUGUCCGGAUUUAUUGGG